This 468-nucleotide ribosomal RNA is filed under the name uncultured bacterium. Its description in RNAcentral is "partial 16S ribosomal RNA". It matches the Rfam family "Bacterial small subunit ribosomal RNA", at positions 28 to 507 of the family's 1533-position model. The record is from RNAcentral.
GACGAACGCUGGCGGCGUGCUUAACACAUGCAAGUCGAACGGAAAGGCCCUGCUUUUGUGGGGUGCUCGAGUGGCGAACGGGUGAGUAACACGUGAGUAACCUGCCCUUGACUUUGGGAUAACUUCAGGAAACUGGGGCUAAUACCGGAUAGGAGCUCCUGCUGCAUGGUGGGGGUUGGAAAGUUUCGGCGGUUGGGGAUGGACUCGCGGCUUAUCAGCUUGUUGGUGGGGUAGUGGCUUACCAAGGCUUUGACGGGUAGCCGGCCUGAGAGGGGGACCGGCCACAUUGGGACUGAGAGACGGCCCAGACUCCUACGGGAGGCAGCAGUGGGGAAUAUUGCACAAUGGGCGGAAGCCUGAUGCAGCAACGCCGCGUGCGUGAUGACGGCCUUCGGGUUGUAAACCGCUUUCGCCUGUGACGAAGCGGGAGUGACGGUAAUGGGUAAAGAAGCACCGGCUAACUACGUG